UACGUAGGGUGCAAGCGUUGUCCGGAAUUAUUGGGCGUAAAGAGCUCGUAGGCGGUCUGUCGCGUCGGAUGUGAAAAUCCAGGGCUCAACCCUGGACCUGCAUUCGAUACGGGCAGACUAGAGUUCGGCAGGGGAGAAUGGAAUUCCCGGUGUAGCGGUGAAAUGCGCAGAUAUCGGGAGGAACACCGGUGGCGAAGGCGGUUCUCUGGGCCUUACCUGACACUGAGGAGCGAAAGCGUGGGGAGCGAACAGG
RNAcentral lists this ribosomal RNA (253 nucleotides) under uncultured bacterium. RNAcentral's name for it is "partial 16S ribosomal RNA". It matches the Rfam family "Bacterial small subunit ribosomal RNA", at positions 524 to 776 of the family's 1533-position model. The record is from RNAcentral.